CGACUCUUACCUGCCUGUUCAGGGCCUUCGGCAAGACCCAUGAAUAAUUUUUGGAAACCCCGCACCAUGCUGGGGUU
This 77-nucleotide small nuclear RNA is filed under the name Angiostrongylus costaricensis. RNAcentral's name for it is "SmY spliceosomal RNA". It matches the Rfam family "SmY spliceosomal RNA". The record is from Rfam by way of RNAcentral. Lineage: Eukaryota; Metazoa; Nematoda; Chromadorea; Rhabditida; Metastrongylidae.